Molecule: transfer RNA, 72 nt
Filed under: Dipodomys ordii (Ord's kangaroo rat)
Lineage: Eukaryota; Metazoa; Chordata; Mammalia; Rodentia; Heteromyidae
Rfam family: tRNA
About the family: Transfer RNA (tRNA) molecules are approximately 80 nucleotides in length.
Source: Rfam by way of RNAcentral
GGGAAGGUGGCUCAGUGGUAGAGUGCUUGCCUUGCAUGCAUGAAGCCCUAGGUUCAAUUCCUCAGCAUCACA